RNAcentral lists this long non-coding RNA (1386 nucleotides) under Chloebia gouldiae (Gouldian finch). RNAcentral's name for it is "Erythrura gouldiae (Gouldian finch) lncRNA (ENSEGOG00005005468.1)". Lineage: Eukaryota; Metazoa; Chordata; Aves; Passeriformes; Passeridae. The record is from RNAcentral.
CUCUAAGAUAUAAAAAAUUUUAUAAGUCUGCAACUCUGAGGUGGCUGCUUGAAGACAUUUUUCUGUUGUCUGUUAGAAGGGAUUUUGUGCCAUGUAAAAAAUUGACUUUUAUUAAAAAUGCGCAUUUUUCUGCACAACCCGAAUUCAUUCCAUUGAAAUGCUCCUUGGACAGUAGCUCCCCACUGCUCCUCAUCUGCAAAAUCUCGGUUAUUCUACAGAAAAAUCAAAUUGUUUUUUCACUGUUUUCGUUUUUUUUUUUGAAAGUGCUGCUAACAAGACCACGACGCCCACUGAUACUUUUGGGAUUUAAGGGUUUGCUUUGUAGCCGGACCCCGAUCCUGCCAUGGCUAAGCUUUGUCAGCUUCCCCAACUGAGCUGCAUCAAAACGUGCUGCGGAAUAUUUCCGGAUGGAAUCAGCUCGGUGUCCCUUCCCCAGGGCAGUGACAACGCUGGCUUCGCAGCAAAACGCAGACCUUUCGGGUCGCUGAACGCCAAGAAAAGCAGCUUCUGCAGAAUGCGAACAGCAGCGAGCAAAUCACGGACCAUCGCUGUCCUCGAGUCACCUCCGCAUUCCCACCGGGCUUGGAUCCAGCGCAGGGCAUCCUUGCAGGUGCAGCUCGGGCUGCAGGGGCCGGAGGGUCCUGAGGGAGCCAAAGGGCUCCUUCCCAGUCUUGCAUUUGGGAGGAAAAGCAGUUUGGGCUGAGGUCUGGGGGCCCUGGUGGAUGAUGUUUGCCUAAAGCAUCCUCCGCUCUCUUCCCCGGGCGCUGGAGGUGCUGGGGACGCUCUGCGGCUGUGGCACAGCCUGGUCCUGGUGCAGAGCUGCUCCCUCGGCCUGGCAGGGCAGCAGAGGGGUGCCAGGGGCUGAGGAGGAGCUGCCCAGGGCCGGGCCGGCUCCCCCCUCACCGGCGGUGCCCCCAGUCCGGCUGGAAGCUCCGCCGGCAGCCCCGGGCUGGGCUCAGCAGCCGCCGGAGGGAGAGGCUGGGAGCGCCCAUCUCACCCCAGCGCCCGCUCCAGCGAAAGCGGCUCCCUGCUCCUCUCAGUCUUUCACUCAAGGACUGCUCUGACAGCGUGGAGAGAAAAAAGUCCUUUCCCAGAGUCAAUUCCAGCUCUUCCCCCUCCAACAGUUUCCCUCCAUCCCCUCCCUGGCUCUGCGAGUGCUGCAGGUUGUCCUCGCUUGGGGACACGGGCACAGACCCCACAGGUGUGAGGGAGCAGCAGCAUUUCCCGGCCACCACAGGUUCUGUGUCUCCGUCAGAGAGGCAAAUCAACUCUUGUCUCCUCUUCUAUGUAUUUAUGAUUUUUUUUUUAGGCAAACAGGAGAAACAUGGGAUCAUCCAGUGCUGGAUUUGAGCGAGUCAGACACUCCUUUAGCUGUGUAUUCUCCUG